Molecule: ribosomal RNA, 734 nt
Filed under: Mycolicibacterium gilvum
Lineage: Bacteria; Bacillati; Actinomycetota; Actinomycetes; Mycobacteriales; Mycobacteriaceae
Description: bacterial SSU rRNA
Rfam family: Bacterial small subunit ribosomal RNA
Source: RNAcentral
CAAGUCGAACGGAAAGGCCCUUCGGGGUACUCGAGUGGCGAACGGGUGAGUAACACGUGGGUGAUCUGCCCUGCACUUUGGGAUAAGCCUGGGAAACUGGGUCUAAUACCGAAUAGGACCGCAUGCUUCAUGGUGUGUGGUGGAAAGCUUUUGCGGUGUGGGAUGGGCCCGCGGCCUAUCAGCUUGUUGGUGAGGUAAUGGCUUACCAAGGCGACGACGGGUAGCCGGCCUGAGAGGGUGACCGGCCACACUGGGACUGAGAUACGGCCCAGACUCCUACGGGAGGCAGCAGUGGGGAAUAUUGCACAAUGGGCGCAAGCCUGAUGCAGCGACGCCGCGUGAGGGAUGACGGCCUUCGGGUUGUAAACCUCUUUCGCCAGGGACGAAGCGCAAGUGACGGUACCUGGAGAAGAAGGACCGGCCAACUACGUGCCAGCAGCCGCGGUAAUACGUAGGGUCCGAGCGUUGUCCGGAAUUACUGGGCGUAAAGAGCUCGUAGGUGGUUUGUCGCGUUGUUCGUGAAAACUCACAGCUUAACUGUGGGCGUGCGGGCGAUACGGGCAGACUUGAGUACUGCAGGGGAGACUGGAAUUCCUGGUGUAGCGGUGGAAUGCGCAGAUAUCAGGAGGAACACCGGUGGCGAAGGCGGGUCUCUGGGCAGUAACUGACGCUGAGGAGCGAAAGCGUGGGGAGCGAACAGGAUUAGAUACCCUGGUAGUCCACGCCGUAAACGG